GUCUACAGCCAUGCUACCCUGAACACACCUGAUCCCUUCUGAUCUCGGAAGCUAAGUAGGGUCGGGCCUGGUUAGUACUUGGAUGGGAGACCACCUAGGAAGACCAGGUGCUGUAGGCG
RNAcentral lists this ribosomal RNA (119 nucleotides) under Pteropus alecto (black flying fox). Lineage: Eukaryota; Metazoa; Chordata; Mammalia; Chiroptera; Pteropodidae. RNAcentral also lists the same sequence under 1 other name. The record is from RNAcentral.